Molecule: ribosomal RNA, 468 nt
Filed under: uncultured bacterium
Lineage: Bacteria
Description: partial 16S ribosomal RNA
Rfam family: Bacterial small subunit ribosomal RNA
Source: RNAcentral
GACGAACGCUGGCGGCGUGCUUAACACAUGCAAGUCGAACGGAAAGGCCCUGCUUUUGUGGGGUGCUCGAGUGGCGAACGGGUGAGUAACACGUGAGUAACCUGCCCUUGACUUUGGGAUAACUUCAGGAAGCUGGGGCUAAUACCGGAUAGGAGCUCCUGCUGCAUGGUGGGAGUUGGAAAGUUUCGGCGGUUGGGGAUGGACUCGCGGCUUAUCAGCUUGUUGGUGGGGUAGUGGCUUACCAAGGCUUUGACGGGUAGCCGGCCUGAGAGGGUGACCGGCCACAUUGGGACUGAGAUACGGCCCAGACUCCUACGGGAGGCAGCAGUGGGGAAUAUUGCACAAUGGGCGGAAGCCUGAUGCAGCAACGCCGCGUGCGGGAUGACGGCCUUCGGGUUGUAAACCGCUUUCGCCUGUGACGAAGCGUGAGUGACGGUAAUGGGUAAAGAAGCACCGGCUAACUACGUG